CCAAUAGCGUAUAUUAAAGUUGUUGCAGUUAAAAAGCUCGUAGUUGAACUUCGGGGUUCACCCAUUGGUCAGGCUUAAUUGUCUGCACUGGUGAGAUGAGUCUCUACCUUCUGAGGAACUUUCAUGCCAUUUAUUUGGUGUGGUUGGAAAUCAGGACUGUUACUUUGAAAAAAUUAGAGUGUUUAAAGCAGGCUAACGUCUGAAUACAUUAGCAUGGAAUAAUGAAAUAGGACGGACUGAUUCUAUUUCGUUGGUUUCUAGGAUCACCGUAAUGAUUAAUAGGGAUAGUUGGGGGCAUUAGUAUUCAAUUGUCAGAGGUGAAAUUCUUGGAUUUAUUGAAGACUAACUACUGCGAAAGCAUUUGCCAAGGAUGUUUUCAUUAAUCAAGAACGAAAGUUAGGGGAUCGAAGACGAUCAGAUACCGUCGUAGUCUUAACCAUAAACUAUGCCGACUAGGGAUCGGACGAAGUUAAUUUUAUAAUGACGCGUUCGGCACCUUACG
This 502-nucleotide ribosomal RNA is filed under the name uncultured Glomeromycotina. Its description in RNAcentral is "partial small subunit ribosomal RNA". It matches the Rfam family "Eukaryotic small subunit ribosomal RNA", at positions 591 to 1092 of the family's 1831-position model. The record is from RNAcentral. Lineage: Eukaryota; Fungi; Glomeromycota.